AACUUUUAACAACGGAUCACUUGGCUCUGGCAUCGAUGAAGAACGCAGCGAAAUGCGAUAAGUAGUGUGAAUUGCAGAAUUCAGUGAAUCAUCGAAUCUUUGAACGCACAUUGCGCCCCUUGGUAUUCCAUGGGGCAUGCCUGUUCGAGCGUCAUCUACACCCUCAAGCUCUGCUUGGUGUUGGGCGUCUGUCCCGCCUCUGCGCGUGGACUCGCCCCAAAUUCAUUGGCAGCGGUCCUUGCCUCCUCUCGCGCAGCACAUUGCGCUUCUCGAGGUGCGCGGCCCGCGUCCACGAAGCAACAUUACCGUCUUUGACCUCGGAUCAGGUAGGGAUACCCGCUGAACUUAAGCAUAUCAAUAAGCGGAGGCU
Molecule: unclassified non-coding RNA, 370 nt
Filed under: uncultured Microdiplodia
Lineage: Eukaryota; Fungi; Ascomycota; Dothideomycetes; Botryosphaeriales; Botryosphaeriaceae
Description: sequence contains ITS2
Rfam family: 5.8S ribosomal RNA (bases 1-154)
Source: RNAcentral